GACAGAGGGGGCAAGCGUUGCUCGGAAUCACUGGGCGUAAAGGGCGCGUAGGCGGGAUGGCAAGUCGGUCGUGAAAUCUCUCGGCUCAACCGAGAAACGUCGGCCGAUACUGCCGUUCUUGAGGGAUGCAGAGGAGACUGGAAUUCCAGGUGUAGCGGUGAAAUGUGUAGAGAUCGGGAGGAACACCGGUGGCGAAGGCGGGCCUCUGGGCAUCUCCUGACGCUGAGGCGAGAAAGCGUGGGGAGCAAACGGG
This 253-nucleotide ribosomal RNA is filed under the name uncultured bacterium. Its description in RNAcentral is "partial 16S ribosomal RNA". It matches the Rfam family "Bacterial small subunit ribosomal RNA", at positions 524 to 776 of the family's 1533-position model. The record is from RNAcentral.